This is a long non-coding RNA of Rhinolophus ferrumequinum (greater horseshoe bat), 830 nucleotides long. RefSeq lists it as uncharacterized. The record is from RefSeq and is a predicted model, not a curated record. The transcript is spliced from 3 exons. NCBI's taxonomy places the organism in Eukaryota, Metazoa, Chordata, Mammalia, Chiroptera, Rhinolophidae.
ACAGAGCAGAGGCCAUGCAGCAGGCCGGGUCGUGCACCCCAAGCCCUCACAGCCAGGGGACCACCAUCAAGGUGGGUGGGGCCUCAGCAGAGCCGGGGCCUCCCAAGGAGACAGUGAGGAUGAGAAGGCCAGUCCCCCAGCACCUGCUCACUGGGGAGGCAGCUGUCCAACGAGGCUUCCCAGAACCCCCUGGGAAGGAAGUCUGGGAUCCUCACUGGGCCUCAGCCUGUCCCUCCCAGCCCAGGAUUAGGGAUCUGAACAGAAGCUCACUUCCCCUGCAGUGACCUGGGGGGUUUGGGGGACAGCUUUGUUCCAGGCCACUCAGACCCGACAGAGCAGGGGACAGCCAGGAGGGGAGAGCCAGGCGAGCCGUGGGGACUCUGCUGGGCCCCGUGUGGCAGCGAGGGGCCUGGGGCCGCGGGAGGAGGCUGCCCCACCACACAGCUGCCUGGGGGCCAGGAAGUUGGCAGCCUCGGCCAGCUCCUCGAUGCGGAUCUCACGGGCACCGGCCGGGAUCAGCCCCACAUCCACGUACCCUGGUGGCCGGCGGUGCGCAGAGGAAGCCACUGCCUGGGAUCCUGCAGCCAGAAGGCGGGCGAGCCACCCACCGCCUGGGCUUGUUUCCGGCAGGAGCUGUGCUGAGCUGGUGCGGACGAGGAAGUCGUGGUGCCAAAGCAGAGGUGGGGCGUGCGGCCCGAUCGUGAGGGGGCUUUGCUGAGACGUGAUCAAAGGGCCUCAGCGGCAGAGCUGGUACAGCCUGGGGAGGGUGCGAGGGGACCAGGAGGGCCCCAGCAGAGGCCACCAGGGGUGGGGACAGGAGGUGUUAGAGA